Molecule: non-coding RNA, 1600 nt
Organism: Momordica charantia (bitter melon)
Lineage: Eukaryota; Viridiplantae; Streptophyta; Magnoliopsida; Cucurbitales; Cucurbitaceae
Source: RefSeq, a predicted model, not a curated record
UCUAAAUCCCGUGUUAGGCGGCGUUAUUGUUAAAAACUCGCGGGAAGGGAGGAAGAGUGAUGCUUCAGCGAAUCCAUGGGAAACCCAAGCAGGAAAUUGAAGGUGUAAAUUAAGAUCAAUUCUUUGAAACCGUUCCACUUGGUGUUGAAACUGUUCGUUGAUGUUCCAGUGAAGCCUCUGUUACAAUAAUCAUAGCCGAGGAAAAUGAGCUUGCAACCCUAGAGCAGAGAUGGAAGUCCAAACUUCAAAGGUUCUAUGUGCAGAUGCGGAUUUGAUAUUCCUUGUAGGCUGCGGACCAUGUCUGGUGGGAAGUCGGAGCCCCAGUCUCCCACUAAACCCCAUUCAUCUCUACCGGUGCCACUUCCAUCGAGCACUGAUACAUAUCUGUUAAUGGCGACUUGAGAGGGUUUUGAAAAGCUUGAACUGGAGACUGUAGGAACCUCUAACUGAUCAGUCGAUUCAAAAUCAGCAAAUUCUGGGAUUGGUAUAUGAUUAAUGAUUUCAGUGAACUCUGUUAAAGUACUAAGAGAUAGGGAAGGCAAUGUGAAGCCAGUGACAUGGUUUUCAGUUUCUGGGGCAUGUGGCAGUGAGGAUUUUGUGUCAAGGUGGCUCACAGUACUCUCUGUUUGGAGCUUGGUUUUGCCCGCAAGGAACAGCUUCUUUUUCAAUCUAGUAUUCCAAUGGUUCUUCACAUCAUUGUCCGUUCUACCAGGGAGUUGAGAGGCUAUGGCAGACCAUCUGACCAAAACACAGCAAUUAACAAAUUAUUUUCUGAAAACUUAAGCUAAAUAAUAAUAUUGUCACUCAAUUAAAUCUUAUAGAAACUAAGAAAUCUAGGUCGAAAUUUCUAUAUUAUAAGCUCUGUAAAGUUCAAAUCUUUAAUCUUUGUUUCAGAAGAACAUCAAGAAUUUCAGUCUUUAAAAAGCAAAGUAUACAUUAUAAGAUUAAUCCUGGAUUGAAAAAUUAUCAGACUUGCCUGCUUCCAUAUUGAUUAUAGAGGUUGAAGAUGACAUUGUCUUCCUCUUCGGUAAAGUCUCCAUGUUUGAUGUUGGGUCUGAGAUAGUUUAGCCACCGUAACCUGCAACUCUUGCCGCAUCUCUUUAGCCCUGCAAUUUGUUUUAUACAUUACACUGGGAGAGAUAUGAUCAAACAAAAUUGGUUGUAGUUCUUCUGGGAAAAUGGGAAUGCAAGUUGAAAAACAAGAAGACUGGAAGUGGAAAGAGAGAAACCAGCUUUUCUGGGCAGAGCAAUCCAGCUACCAGCAGUGCCAUGAGUUUCCACAUAGCUUCUGAGAGUGGCAUCCUCAUCAGGAGACCAAGGCCCCUUCUUGACAUUGGCUUUGUCACAGCAUGGAGCUCUUCCCAUGGCCGCUUAAUUCUGCACUCUAACUCUCCCUCUAGGAAUAAGUGGGAGAGAGGGUCGUUGUAAAUGCUUCUAGUACUAGCUCAAUUGCAAAUCCUUCUAGUUUUUGUUUAUGAUUUUUCAGUGAGAGCCAUAUAGAAUCUAGCUUGACUUUGUACCAUCUCUCCACAUCGGUUCCCCUUUCUUCCAAGCUUAUUUCCUUGUUCGUUAAUUAAUAUAGAGGCACCUCAUUUUCAGA